RNAcentral lists this ribosomal RNA (1324 nucleotides) under uncultured rumen bacterium. RNAcentral's name for it is "partial 16S ribosomal RNA". It matches the Rfam family "Bacterial small subunit ribosomal RNA", at positions 43 to 1377 of the family's 1533-position model. The record is from RNAcentral.
CAGGCCUAACACAUGCAAGUCGAACGGAGUGUUGAGAGCUUGCUUUUAACACUUAGUGGCGGACGGGUGAGUAAUGCGUGAGCAACCUGCCUUUCAGAGGGGGACAACAGUUGGAAACGACUGCUAAUACCGCAUAACGUAUUUUGGGGGCAUCCCCGGGAUACCAAAGGAGCAAUCCGCUGAAAGAUGGGCUCACGUCUGAUUAGCUAGUUGGUGGGGUAACGGCUCACCAAGGCUGCGAUCAGUAGCCGGACUGAGAGGUUGAACGGCCACAUUGGGACUGAGAUACGGCCCAGACUCCUACGGGAGGCAGCAGUGGGGAAUAUUGGGCAAUGGGCGAAGGCCUGACCCAGCAACGCCGCGUGAAGGAAGAAGGUCUUCGGAUUGUAAACUUCUUUUAUGAGGGACGAAGGACGUGACGGUACCUCAUGAAUAAGCCACGGCUAACUACGUGCCAGCAGCCGCGGUAAUACGUAGGUGACAAGCGUUAUCCGGAUUUACUGGGCGUAAAGGGCGUGUAGGCGGUCUUGCAAGUCAGAAGUGAAAUUCCUGAGCUCAACUCGGGCGCUGCUUCUGAAACUGCAGGACUUGAGUGCUGGAGGGGAUAGCGGAAUUCCUAGUGUAGCGGUGAAAUGCGUAGAUAUUAGGAGGAACACCAGUGGCGAAGGCGGCUUGCUGGGCUUUUACUGACGCUGAGGCUCGAAAGCGUGGGGAGCAAACAGGAUUAGAUACCCUGGUAGUCCACGCCGUAAACGAUGAUUACUAGGUGUGGGGGGAUUGACCCCUUCCGUGCCGCAGUUAACACAAUAAGUAAUCCACCUGGGGAGUACGACCGCAAGGUUGAAACUCAAAGGAAUUGACGGGGGCCCGCACAAGCAGUGGAGUAUGUGGAUUAAUUCGAAGCAACGCGAAGAACCUUACCGGGUCAUGACAUCGAGUGACCGGCUCAGAGAUGAGCUUUUCUCUUCGGAGACACGAAGACAGGUGGUGCAUGGUUGUCGUCAGCUCGUGUCGUGAGAUGUUGGGUUAAGUCCCGCAACGAGCGCAACCCCUAUUUCCAGUAGCCAGCACGUUAGGUGGGCACUCUGGAAAGACUGCCAGGGACAACCUGGAGGAAGGUGGGGAUGACGUCAAAUCAUCAUGCCCCUUAUGAUUUGGGCUACACACGUGCUACAAUGGCGUUUAACAAAGGGAAGCGAGCCUGUGAGGGGGAGCAAAUCUCAAAAACAACGUCCCAGUUCGGACUGAAGUCUGCAACCCGACUUCACGAAGCUGGAAUCGCUAGUAAUSGCGGAUCAGAAUGCCGCGGUGAAUACGUUCCCGG